RNAcentral lists this ribosomal RNA (845 nucleotides) under uncultured bacterium. Its description in RNAcentral is "bacterial SSU rRNA". It matches the Rfam family "Bacterial small subunit ribosomal RNA", at positions 26 to 899 of the family's 1533-position model. The record is from RNAcentral.
AGGAUGAACGCUGGCGGCGUGCCUAACACAUGCAAGUCGAGCGAUCUUCUUUCGGAAGAGAGCGGCGGACGGGUGAGUAACGCGUGGGUAACCUGCCCUGUACACACGGAUAACAUACCGAAAGGUAUGCUAAUACGGGAUAACAUAUGAGAGUCACAUGACUUUUAUAUCAAAGCUUUUGCGGUACAGGAUGGACCCGCGUCUGAUUAGCUAGUUGGUAAGGUAACGGCUUACCAAGGCGACGAUCAGUAGCCGACCUGAGAGGGGGAUCGGCCACACCGGAACUGAGACACGGUCCAGACUCCUACGGGAGGCAGCAGUGGGGAAUAUUGCACAAUGGGCGAAAGCCUGAUGCAGCAACGCCGCGUGAGCGAUGAAGGCCUUCGGGUCGUAAAGCUCUGUCCUCAAGGAAGAUAAUGACGGUACUUGAGGAGGAAGCCCCGGCUAACUACGUGCCAGCAGCCGCGGUAAUACGUAGGGGGCUAGCGUUAUCCGGAAUUACUGGGCGUAAAGGGUGCGUAGGCGGUCUUUCAAGCCAGAAGUGAAAGGCUACGGCUCAACCGUAGUAAGCUUUUGGAACUGUAGGACUUGAGUGCAGGAGAGGAGAGUAGAAUUCCUAGUGUAGCGGUGAAAUGCGUAGAUAUUAGGAGGAAUACCAGUAGCGAAGGCGGCUCUCUGGACUGUAACUGACGCUGAGGCACGAAAGCGUGGGGAGCGAACAGGAUUAGAUACCCUGGUAGUCCACGCCGUAAACGAUGAGCACUAGGUGUCGGGGGUUACCCCCCUCGGUGCCGCAGCUAACGCAUUAAGUACUCCGCCUGGGAAGUACGCUCGCGAGAGUGAAA